UACGUAGGGGGCAAGCGUUAUCCGGAUUUAUUGGGUUUAAAGGGAGCGUAGGCGGGUUGUUAAGUCAGUUGUGAAAGUUUGCGGCUCAACCGUAAAAUUGCAGUUGAUACUGGCAUCCUUGAGUACAGUAGAGGUAGGCGGAAUUCGUGGUGUAGCGGUGAAAUGCUUAGAUAUCACGAAGAACUCCGAUUGCGAAGGCAGCCUGCUGGACUGUAACUGACGCUGAUGCUCGAAAGUGUGGGUAUCAA
This 248-nucleotide ribosomal RNA is filed under the name uncultured Bacteroides sp. RNAcentral describes it as "partial 16S ribosomal RNA". It matches the Rfam family "Bacterial small subunit ribosomal RNA", at positions 524 to 771 of the family's 1533-position model. Lineage: Bacteria; Pseudomonadati; Bacteroidota; Bacteroidia; Bacteroidales; Bacteroidaceae. The record is from RNAcentral.